GGGGGCGACCGGAUUCGACUGGAUUGCUGUAUGUAUGGGUGGCGUGUCGUGGUUGAUCAGCAGGCCACGUAAAAAGCCGAUCAAAAAACAACUGCCAAUCGGCCGUUGACCUUGGCUGCCUAGUGCAGCCGUGACCUAGGAAUCCCCGCCGAUGGAGUCCGAAAGUCACACGCAAAUACCGGCUGGCUCCUGGUCAAUGUGACCUACGUCAGGAGCGAGACUCGUGGGACACUGGUCGCGAACAGGCUUCGUCUGUUGAGCCUGCCGCGAUGACAUCAAUCAGCGGAAUACACACGUAGAGGCCCAUGCUGAGGUAUCACAGGACAGGGGUUCAAUUCCCCUCGCCUCCAAAU
Molecule: transfer-messenger RNA, 353 nt
Filed under: Planctomycetaceae bacterium
Lineage: Bacteria; Pseudomonadati; Planctomycetota; Planctomycetia; Planctomycetales; Planctomycetaceae
Rfam family: transfer-messenger RNA
About the family: Bacterial tmRNA, also known as 10Sa RNA or SsrA, is named for its dual tRNA and mRNA-like properties.
Source: RNAcentral